This is a long non-coding RNA of Dreissena polymorpha, 2395 nucleotides long. RefSeq lists it as uncharacterized. NCBI's taxonomy places the organism in Eukaryota, Metazoa, Mollusca, Bivalvia, Myida, Dreissenidae. The record is from RefSeq and is a predicted model, not a curated record. The transcript is spliced from 5 exons.
UAAGCGUACGAAGUAUUAACAUUAAUGGAUAUAGAUCCAAACCCACACCAACCGAUUGUGUUAUUUAGUAGUUCUUCUUUGUUUUGACAUUCGCGGAAGUAGACAUCACGUGAAAUUGGCGCUCACGUGACCAAAAGCGUGCAUACGUCACAGCUCUGAAGCAAGAAAGUAGUGAGGAUAUCGUUCCAACAGCUGCAAUUGGAGGAGGCGUGGCUGCUGGUGUAAUAGUCGUUGUUGUGACAGCCGUGGCUGUAUUUAUUUACCUUCGAAGAAGAAGUCCAUUGUACGAUACUGUUCAACGAGCAAACAAUGCCAAUCUCCCUGAAGAAAUUACGUAUGCUGCCCUGCAGGCAAAGGAUUCAAUCUGUCUAACUGAAAUGUCUGCGCACAGUCACGUGUGUGGAGAAACGAAUGUUGAAUACCAGAACACAGACAAUGAGCAACACACGUAUGAGAUUGCGAACUGAACAACGACUGAAGGACUUAAUGUUAAUGUGUCAUAAUGAACAUCUCCAGUGAUAGAAAGGUCCAUUGAAUCAGACAUGCCUUUAGGUAUAAAACGCGUUUCAUGAAGACAAUACCAGCAUAAAUAAGAAUAGCGUAAUUCUAUUGUCAUAUUCAGAAAGAUAUUCACUUGUUCUUUGUGUAUAUUUUCUGUAUUUUUACAACUUACAAAAGAAUCAUUUAUUUGUAUAUACACAUUUGAUGAUUCCACUGUUAAAUAUCUACAAUGUAAUGUGAUUAUAUAUGAUUUCUUAAGUCUACUUCUCAUCGUUUAUAUUGCUUAUUGUUAUCUUAUUUAUGUAUCAAUUUUGCUAAGCCAACUUAUACAUCACCUUUACAUUAACAGCUCUCUGUUGCAUAUCGAUCGUUUUUCCAUGAAAUAUUAAGACGUUGUUUGCAUUUAUUAAUUUAUCUAGCAAUACCAAUAUAUUUUCUACCGUAACAUAAAAAUGUAUCCAUUGUACCGGUUUCUGGUGUAAACAAAUCAAAUUUGGAAUUGCUCUCAUAAAAUAAAUGUAAUUGUGUGCCUAUUACAAUGGAACUAAGUUUAACACGCCUAAAAAAUAAAGCAGAGCUGUCUUAUGGGUAAACGGGAUCAAACUUCUAUUGUCUCUCCUACCAAAGAUUAAAACAAUCGAAAUAAAACACAAACAAAACGGGUCCGUGUUAAAAAACGUAAAGUUUUCUCCCCUGAUAACACGAAACUCGACAAAAAGUCCAGAUUAACUACGGACACUGCAUCUGAGCACGAAUCGGAGAUCACUGAAGGGUCAAGUGUGGACUGGUUUUCGCCCAAUUUCACCCUUGAAUCACAUAUAGCUGUCUCAGUUCACAAAAUGUCGAAGAGUAAUACUCAUGGCGACACCCUUGACUCAAAACUCGUUGAUAGAAACUGUGUGAAUAAUCAACAGUCCCAACAAUCUAUGCUAUGCCAUAACACCCCUCAGCCAUCUGUACAUCUAAAAGUUGCAUCGAUCAUCAUUACGUUAUGUCCCCUGAGAGGCAGAUUCCACCAUUCAUGACCUCCCCACCCACUAUGCAACAUCAACAGAUGCUGCCAAAGUCCUUCAUUACCGACUUUGAUCUUCAACGAAAUGUCCACACAUCGAGAAUCUCCCUAUGUGAUGAAAUCCGUGGGCUUGUCCAGGCAUUUGUGGUUAAACAUGUUACUCCUCUUUUAAAUGAAAUCAGUGAACUGAAACUUUCUGUGAACACCAUGUCUAACAAAGUUGCUGUUUUAGAACAAGAUCUGGACGAUGCAAAUCAAUACAGCAGGCGUCAUUGUCUUAUAUUCAGCAUUGUGUCAGAAAACAAGGAUGAAUCCACUGAUGAUAUCAUCAUACAUAUAGCAAAAGAUACUGGUUCCAACAUUGUCCUGUCAGAUAUUGACAGGUCCCACAGAAAUUGACCUCCCAAAAGGAAUGAUGUGAAACACAGAUACAUAAUAUGCUAGUUCACUAACUUCAAAGCAAAGACAGAUUUCAUCAAAUCAAGAAAACAACUGAGACUUAAUAAAAGCAAAGUGUUCCUCAAUGAACAAUUAACCCCAAUGAGAAGGGAAAUUGCUGUCAAUUGCCAACAAUUGAAACACGACCCACUGUCUCCCAUCGCAGGUACAUGGACAUUUGAUGGAAACAUAUUCAUUACGUUGAAGAACCAGGAUCAGAAAAUCAAGAUCAUUUCCAUACAGGAACUGUCUAAAUUUGGCUUCAAGCAAAUCUAAUUUCACACGCAUGAACUAAUACCCAGUGUUGACUUGACGUUCAAAUAUAAUUAUUGUCAUACUUCUCAAGCAAGUUCUAUAUACCAUAAAACAUCGUUUUUUAAUUAAUAAUAAAUAUGUACCCAUUCCCACCCAUAUUAGGUACAAUAAUUCAUGCCCUAACAUACA